This 36-nucleotide ribosomal RNA is filed under the name Persicaria neofiliformis. Its description in RNAcentral is "partial 26S ribosomal RNA". The record is from RNAcentral. RNAcentral also lists the same sequence under 2 other names. Lineage: Eukaryota; Viridiplantae; Streptophyta; Magnoliopsida; Caryophyllales; Polygonaceae.
GCGACCCCAGGUCAGGCGGACUACCGCUGAGUUUAA